GAUAACUGUGGUAAUUCUAGAGCUAAUACAUGCACCAAAGCUCUGCCCCCUUCGCGGGGGGAAGAGUGCAUUUAUUAGAGCAUAACCAGGCGGGCCCGCUCUCGCAAGGGAGCGCGGCUCGUACCGUGUUGACUCAGAAUAACUCUAGCUGAUCGCAUGGUCCUUGUACCGGCGACGUGUCUUUCAAGUGUCUGCCUUAUCAACUUUCGAUGGUAGUGUAUCUGACUACCAUGGUUGUGUACGGGUAACGGAGGAUAAGGGUUCGACUCCGGAGAAGGGGCCUGAGAAAUGGCCACUACGUCUAAGGAUGGCAGCAGGCGCGCAAAUUACCCACUCUCGGCGCGAGGAGGUAGUGACGAAAAAUAACGAGACCGUUCUCCAAAGAGGCCGGUCAUCGGAAUGGGUACAAUUUAAA
This 415-nucleotide ribosomal RNA is filed under the name unidentified nematode Sourhope farm. RNAcentral describes it as "bacterial SSU rRNA". It matches the Rfam family "Eukaryotic small subunit ribosomal RNA", at positions 142 to 529 of the family's 1831-position model. Lineage: Eukaryota; Metazoa; Nematoda. The record is from RNAcentral.